RNAcentral lists this ribosomal RNA (355 nucleotides) under uncultured bacterium. RNAcentral's name for it is "bacterial SSU rRNA". It matches the Rfam family "Bacterial small subunit ribosomal RNA", at positions 43 to 375 of the family's 1533-position model. The record is from RNAcentral.
CCGGCCGCGGGAAUUAGACUCACGCCUAACACAUGCAAGUCGAACGGGAUCCAUCAAGCUUACUUGGUGGUGAGAGUGGCGAACGGUUGAGUAAUACUUGACCGACCUUCCCCAUCCAAAAGAAUAGCUUCUGGAUACGGGUGGUAAUGCCGGAUGCUCCGUCUCCUCGCAUGGGGUGUCGGGAAAGAUUUCAUCGGUAUGGGAUGGGGUCGAGUCCUAUCAGGUAGUUGGCGGGGUACCGGCCCACCGAUCGUAGGAUCGGGUAGCCGCCCUGAGAGGGCGGCCGGCCUCAUUGGGUCUGAGAUACGGCCCAGACUCCUACGGGAGGCAGCAGUGGGGAAUAUUGCCCAAUGGG